UACGUAGGGACCAAGCGUUGUUCGGAUUUACUGGGCGUAAAGGGCGCGUAGGCGGCGCGGUAAGUCACUUGUGAAAUCUCUGAGCUUAACUCAGAACGGCCAAGUGAUACUGCAGUGCUAGAGUGUGGAAGGGGCAAUCGGAAUUCUUGGUGCAGCGGUGAAAUGCGUAGAUAUCAAGAGGAACACCUGAGGUGAAGACGGGUUGCUGGGCCAACACUGACGCUGAUGCGCGAAAGCCAGGGGAGCAAACGGG
Molecule: ribosomal RNA, 253 nt
Filed under: uncultured bacterium
Lineage: Bacteria
Description: partial 16S ribosomal RNA
Rfam family: Bacterial small subunit ribosomal RNA
Source: RNAcentral